RNAcentral lists this ribosomal RNA (431 nucleotides) under uncultured bacterium. RNAcentral's name for it is "partial 16S ribosomal RNA". It matches the Rfam family "Bacterial small subunit ribosomal RNA", at positions 29 to 507 of the family's 1533-position model. The record is from RNAcentral.
AACGAACGCUGGCGGCAGGCCUAACACAUGCAAGUCGAGCGCCCUCUCGGGGGCGCGGCGGACGGGUGAGUAACGCGUGGGGAUAUGCCCUUCUCUACGUAAUAGCCUACGUAUACUGAGGGUAAUACCGUAUACGCCCUGCGGGGGAAAGGUUUAUCGGGGAAGGAUGAGGCCUAGUGGGAUUAGGUGGUUGGUAGGGUGAUUGACUACCAAGCCGACUAGCCAUAGCUGGUGUGAGAGGAAGACCAGCCACACUGUCACUGAGACACAGCCCAGACUCCUACGGGAUGCAGGAGAGGCGAAUCUUAGACAAUGGGGGCAGCCAUGAUCUAGCCAUGCCGGGUAAGUGAUGAAGGCCUUAGGGUUGUAAAGCACUUUCAGCUGGGGAGAUAAUGACGGUACCAAAAGAAGAAGCCCCGGCUAACUCCGUG